AUCUUUAGAAAUCUUAUCAAAAUAUAACAAUUGUGGUGGAUAGAGAUCUAAAAAUGAUAUCAACAUGAGAGUUAAAAGGUUUGAUUGAAAAUAAAAAUAACAUGAUCAUACACAUAUGAGUACCACACAUUGGCCAUUUUGGCUUCCAUGUAGGCAGUUCCUUCUUCAACUUGCCUUUGCAAUGACUAUAAAUAAAGCACAAGGACAAACUAUGAGCAUUGUUAGUUUCCAUCUGUGGUACAACAUGUCUUUACUCAUGGGCAAUUGUAUGUGGGAUUAUCAUGUGCAAGCAAUUUAAGUACAAUGUUUGUGAGUUGUUGAAAUGACAUCAUCUCAAUUACAUAAAAAAAUUCAGAUUGUUCUUUUACGCAAUACAAUCUGUGUAAUUUUUAUUUUUAUUAUUUAUUUAUUUAUUUAAUGCAGUAAAAAGCACUGUCAUUUUGGCUACUAAGGUAUAUUGUGUUUUGAUAUAUAUUACUUUUUUAAUAUUGAAUUACAAAUUGACCACUUGAUAUCAAAAAACUUUUGCAAAUCAUGCUUCAUUGCAACUUGAUUUGACUUCAUCACAAUUGUCCCUUUUGUAGAGGAUUCUUUAAUGCAAUUUGAUUUGCAUUUAUCGCAAUGGUCUCUUUUAUAGUGGAUUCUUUAUUAUAACUUAAUUUGCAUUCGAUGUAAUUGUAAAUUUUGCAAAGGGCUCUUCAUCGCAACUUCAUUUGCCUUCAUUGCAACCUUAAUGUGGCCUUUAGUGCGAUUACAUGUAUUAAGCUGGUUCAAAAGGUUGAUAAUCCAUGGUGCCAUUGUAUUAUGUGAAUUCUUGCUUGAGAAUGCAUCAAGCACCUAGCUAUGGAAGGUAAAUAGAAAAAUGCAACAACAAGGUCCCAACAAGUCAAAUAGAAUCAUAAAUAAACUCUAAUCAAAUCUUAACAAUCAUAAUUAAAUUUUAAUCAAAUCCAAAAGAAGUUAGAAAGAAAAUACUAAAAAUACAUAAAAAAUCAGAAAUUAAUCUUAAAGAAAAAUAAUAAAGAAAUCCUAAUUAAAUCCUAAUAAAAUCCUAUCCAAACUCUCACCAAAUCCUAACAAAUCCUAAUAAAAUCUAAAGCUAAUCUAAAAUAACCCUAAUGAAAUUCUAAUUAAAUCUUAAUGAAAUCCAAAUUAAAUCCUAAGAAAAUUCUAAAGAAAUCCUAAAUAACACUAAAAAGAAUCCAAAAAAACCUUAAGUAAAUCCUAACCAAUUCCUAUAGAUAUUUUAAAAUCUCAACAACUAUUAAUCAAAUUGUUGAUCUUAACUAAAUUUUUUUACUCAUUUCAAUCCAUAAGCAAAUAUUAUGCAUACAAAUUUUGAGGAAAAUUGAACUCACCAAUUGACAGAACAUGCUCCU
RNAcentral lists this long non-coding RNA (1379 nucleotides) under Physcomitrium patens. RNAcentral's name for it is "long non-coding RNA (PPAT_LNC006448)". The record is from RNAcentral. Lineage: Eukaryota; Viridiplantae; Streptophyta; Bryopsida; Funariales; Funariaceae.